RNAcentral lists this transfer RNA (20 nucleotides) under Salvelinus alpinus alpinus. RNAcentral's name for it is "partial tRNA-Pro". The record is from RNAcentral. RNAcentral also lists the same sequence under 2 other names. Lineage: Eukaryota; Metazoa; Chordata; Actinopteri; Salmoniformes; Salmonidae.
CAGAGGGUAGUUUAAUUUAG